UAUACAGUCCUCCCCCUCCUGCCUCUGUUUAAAAUAAAACACCGCAACAGAAAAUAUAAAGCUUCUCCGAUUAACCGUUUAGGUGCAGAUCCCAAUGUAUAACGUCUGUGUGUUCCUAUAAGGACUAGAUUCUCUAGCCCUGUAGUGCAGCCAUACGUUAUAGAUGCAGCUGCAAGUGCUCAAAGCUUAAACACUAUUUUCCGAAAGCCCGAGCCCCCAGCCUGAGAGGAAGGUUGGGAUGGGCUGGGGAUAGAGUCUCUCGAAUGUUACUCCUAUAGUUUCAAGGACAUCUUGCUGAUGAGGAUUUGGUUAAUGGAGGAGAACUUAUGUCCUAGCGGUGACGUCAUUGGGUCCCAAUGUAAUCCUCUUGUGCUGAACCCAAUCAGCAGAUGUGCUGAGAGCCUGGACGGAGGGAAGAAGCGCUAAUCCUUUAGACUGGAUGAGAUCAGCUGAAACAGCCAGGACUAGACCCAAAAACCCCUCUGCUAGGAAGAUCAAGAGAAAAGGGAUAAAUUGAGAGAGACGCCUCAUAACCCCUUUAAAGAGCUUUGGAGAAGAGACGAGCAGGAGAAUGGAAAGAUGCGUGGUGCACCCAUACAAGUUCAUCUGGCUUUUUCCACGCCGAGCGGGAGCCUGAUUUUCACUCUGAUGAGGUCUUUCUUCAUUGUUCCAGGGGGAGGAAGAGAGAGAGAGAGAGAGAGAGAGGUCUAAAAUUCAAAAGAUAAUGAGAGACUAGGCGCUUUUCUUAUUCAUCUCUAGCCCGCAUACACAAAACAAGCAUGCUGAACCACGGGAGGGCGUCCGCACUGGAUCUGAAAGGACGCGGAGUUUCUGCCGCCUAGCCACAGAGGGCUGCUUCCAUUGGAAUGGGGUCUCCGAUCAUCAAGACACAGCGGACCGCAUCCCGACUUGCGUAGGCCAACUCCCAACCCUACGGGAGCUUGCUCCGAGCUGGCCCCAGACACGUGCGUGGAGGAAGAGACAGACACACGAAGACACGGGGGGCAGAGGCAUCCCCCAAAGUGGGGAUAAUUCCUUGGCUCAGUCCGUAAUGAGGGAAGAAAAAGACCUCACCCACUAACCCGACAGAGGAGAGACGUCAAAGCAAUAUUCACGGAGCUGCCCCCUUCUCAAACUGCUGCACAGUGUUUUGGUCGAAUGCCCAAGAGAGACCUCUCCAGAGAAGCAGCACCUGUUUCCAUGAUUUUCCUGUCUUCUAUUCCAGUCUGACUUUACUUUGGAAACCCUUUGGAGUUUGGCAGGACAAGUAGCCACUGCCUCCCUGUGAGCAACUAACAAGAGCUGCUGUCACAGUCUCUCACCCAAUGUCAACUCAGCACCUUCUGCUGCUCUUAUUGUUGACAUCAGCUCUCUGCAGGUUCUGAGACGGGGUGACACUAGAACAGCGAGUGACAAACGAAGUACCAUGGGACAAGAAGAAAGGGCACAUUACCCCAGGCAAGUUGGAGAGUUUUUCCAAAUGGGAUUUCACUGGUCUAUAAUAAAUGUUCCAGUCGUAAAAGUGGAGAGUCUCAGUGCUUAAAGAAACACAGGA
Long non-coding RNA from Malaclemys terrapin pileata, 1555 nucleotides. RefSeq lists it as uncharacterized. The transcript has 5 exons. Lineage: Eukaryota; Metazoa; Chordata; Testudines; Emydidae. The record is from RefSeq and is a predicted model, not a curated record.